RNAcentral lists this transfer RNA (60 nucleotides) under Oxytate striatipes. RNAcentral describes it as "tRNA-Ser". Lineage: Eukaryota; Metazoa; Arthropoda; Arachnida; Araneae; Thomisidae. The record is from RNAcentral.
UUAUAUGACUUUAUUAAAGAUAUUUUGAAAAUAUCUAUAAAGAUUAAUCUUUAAAGUCUA